UACUAUGAAGCAAGGGAGGGGCCGGCCCAGCUAUUGCUCGGCGUGUACGUAUGAACAAUUUGGGUCUCGUCGGGCCUCAGCUACUAUCUCCGGACAUAGGUCACGGAAAAGGCAGGCCAUUACAAAACGAAGCCCAGCCCAUUGAUGCUUCCAGCUUUUCCCACUAUAUACCCCUGACCAAACCCUAGCUUCUCCCGUUCUCACUCUUCAGCCGGAAAUCGCCCGCAAUGGUUCAAUCCUCCAACGAUUCCCCACAUCCCAAAUCACGCCCCUAGAUCCAGAUCCGGGGAUGACAUAGGCACGAUGAACUCAGUGGGAUCUCUGGAGCUAAUCCCAGAUGUGAGCAAGUUUCAUGUGGUGUAGCAUCUGUUGGUUGUCAUGCAUGAAUGAAGAUUAUUGACUUUAAUUUAGAAGAACUGAGCGAUUUGAGAAGCAAAGAUUAAGUUUUUGUUUUGUGGUACAAGCAUACUGUUUUUACUUAAGUGAAAUUCUCAACCUUGUAUUUGAUUCUUUGUAAUUGUGAUGUACAUUCUUGACUUAAUA
Long non-coding RNA from Lolium perenne, 543 nucleotides. RefSeq lists it as uncharacterized. Lineage: Eukaryota; Viridiplantae; Streptophyta; Magnoliopsida; Poales; Poaceae. The record is from RefSeq and is a predicted model, not a curated record.